RNAcentral lists this ribosomal RNA (460 nucleotides) under uncultured bacterium. RNAcentral describes it as "partial 16S ribosomal RNA". It matches the Rfam family "Bacterial small subunit ribosomal RNA", at positions 338 to 795 of the family's 1533-position model. The record is from RNAcentral.
CCUACGGGUGGCAGCAGUGAGGAAUAUUGGGCAAUGGACGCAAGUCUGAACCAGCCAUGCCGCGUGCAGGAAGACGGCUCUAUGAGUUGUAAACUGCUUUUGUACGAGGGUAAACGCAGAUACGCGUAUCUGUCUGAAAGUAUCGUACGAAUAAGGAUCGGCUAACUCCGUGCCAGCAGCCGGGGUAAUACGGAGGAUUCAAGUGUUUUCCGGAUUUAUUGGGUUUAAAGGGUGCGUAGGCGGUCGGAUAAGUUAGAGGUGAAAGCCCGAGGAUCAACUUCGGAAUUGCCUCUGAUACUGUUCGGCUAGAGAGUAGUAGCGGUAGGCGGAAUGUAUGGUGUAGCGGUGAAAUGCUUAGAGAUCAUACAGAACACCGAUUGCGAAGGCAGCUUACCAAGCUACUUCUGACGUUGAGGCACGAAAGCGUGGGGAGCAAACAGGAUUAGAUGCCCCAGUAGUC